AGUGAACGCUGGCGGUAGGCCUAACACAUGCAAGUCGAACGGCAGCACAGUAAGAGCUUGCUCUUACGGGUGGCGAGUGGCGGACGGGCGAGGAAUACAUCGGAAUCUACUUUUUCGUGGGGGAUAACGUAGGGAAACUUACGCUAAUACCGCAUACGACCUACGGGUGAAAGCAGGGGAUCUUCGGACCUUGCGCGAUUGAAUGAGCCGAUGUCGGAUUAGCUAGUUGGCGGGGUAAAGGCCCACCAAGGCGACGAUCCGUAGCUGGUCUGAGAGGAUGAUCAGCCACACUGGAACUGAGACACGGUCCAGACUCCUACGGGAGGCAGCAGUGGGGAAUAUUGGACAAUGGGCGCAAGCCUGAUCCAGCCAUACCGCGUGAGUGAAGAAGGCCUUCGGGUUGUAAAGCCCUUUUGUUGGGAAAGAAAAGCAGCAGGUUAAUACCCCGCUGUUCUGACGGUACCCAAAGAAUAAGCACCGGCUAACUUCGUG
RNAcentral lists this ribosomal RNA (492 nucleotides) under uncultured bacterium. Its description in RNAcentral is "partial 16S ribosomal RNA". It matches the Rfam family "Bacterial small subunit ribosomal RNA", at positions 29 to 507 of the family's 1533-position model. The record is from RNAcentral.